GGAUGUGAGGAUGAUCUGGCUGUGAAAUAUGCCACCCCAUUGAUCACCAGGGUUGAUUCAGCUGAUCCAGCUGGCUAGGGGGACUUCCCCUUCCUCCCUCACUGCUCCAUGUGCGUCCCUCCCAAAGCUUCGCACUCAGUUGAAGAGGACAACCUUCCCCGCUAGAGGAGGACUGGUCUUCGGUCAAGGGUAUACAAGUAGCUGCGCUCCCCUGCUGGAACCUCCAAACAAGCUCUUAAGAAAAAGAAAAGGAAAAACCAAACACACAAAAAAACUGUUCCUCAAUAGUCUAGACAAGGGAUGUUCAUAGUCAUU
RNAcentral lists this small nuclear RNA (315 nucleotides) under Oryctolagus cuniculus (rabbit). Its description in RNAcentral is "7SK RNA". It matches the Rfam family "7SK RNA". Rfam says of the family: 7SK was discovered as an abundant small nuclear RNA in the mid-70s but a possible function has only recently been suggested. The record is from Rfam by way of RNAcentral. Lineage: Eukaryota; Metazoa; Chordata; Mammalia; Lagomorpha; Leporidae.